GCCGGCGUGGCGAAAUGGCAGACGCAGCAGACUCAAAAUCUGCCGGGGGCAACCUCAUGACGGUUCAAGUCCGUCCGCCGGCA
This 83-nucleotide transfer RNA is filed under the name Termitinemataceae bacterium. RNAcentral's name for it is "tRNA-Leu". It matches the Rfam family "tRNA". From Rfam's summary of the family: Transfer RNA (tRNA) molecules are approximately 80 nucleotides in length. Their secondary structure includes four short double-helical elements and three loops (D, anti-codon, and T loops). The record is from RNAcentral. Lineage: Bacteria; Pseudomonadati; Spirochaetota; Spirochaetia; Spirochaetales; Termitinemataceae.